GGGGAUUUGGCUCAGUGGUAGAGCACUUGCCUAGCAAGCACAAGGCCCUGGGUUCGAUCCCCAGCUCCG
Rattus norvegicus (Norway rat) is the source of this 69-nucleotide non-coding RNA. NCBI's taxonomy places the organism in Eukaryota, Metazoa, Chordata, Mammalia, Rodentia, Muridae. The record is from Rfam.